Molecule: ribosomal RNA, 375 nt
Filed under: uncultured bacterium
Lineage: Bacteria
Description: bacterial SSU rRNA
Rfam family: Bacterial small subunit ribosomal RNA
Source: RNAcentral
UAAUACGGAGGGGGUUAGCGUUGUUCGGAAUUACUGGGCGUAAAGCGCGCGUAGGCGGAUUGGAAAGUUGGGGGUGAAAUCCCAGGGCUCAACCCUGGAACUGCCCUUGAUACUGGGUGUCUUGAGUUCGAGAGAGGUGAGUGGAAUUCCGAGUGUAGAGGUGAAAUUCGUAGAUAUUCGGAGGAACACCAGUGGCGAAGGCGGCUCACUGGCUCGAUACUGACGCUGAGGUGCGAAAGUGUGGGGAGCAAACAGGAUUAGAUACCCUGGUAGUCCACACCGUAAACGAUGAAUGCCAGUCGUCGGGCAGUAUACUGUUCGGUGACACACCUAACGGAUUAAGCAUUCCGCCUGGGGAGUACGGUCGCAAGAUUA